GAUGAACGCUGGCGGCGUGCCUAAUACAUGCAAGUCGUACGCACUGGCCCAACUGAUUGAUGGUGCUUGCACCUGAUUGACGAUGGAUCACCAGUGAGUGGCGGACGGGUGAGUAACACGUAGGUAACCUGCCCCGGAGCGGGGGAUAACAUUUGGAAACAGAUGCUAAUGCCGCAUAACAACAAAAGCCGCAUGGUUUUGUUUGAAAGAUGGCUUUGGCUAUCACUCUGGGAUGGACCUGCGGUGCAUUAGCUGGUUGGUGGGGUAACGGCCUACCAAGGCGACGAUGCAUAGCCGACCUGAGAGGGCGAACGGCCACAUUGGGACUGGAGACACGGCCCAA
This 343-nucleotide ribosomal RNA is filed under the name uncultured bacterium. Its description in RNAcentral is "bacterial SSU rRNA". It matches the Rfam family "Bacterial small subunit ribosomal RNA", at positions 28 to 334 of the family's 1533-position model. The record is from RNAcentral.